ACGAACGCUGGCGGCAUGCCUAACACAUGCAAGUCGCACGAGACCUUCGGGUCUAGUGGCGCACGGGUGCGUCACGCGUGGGAACCUGCCCUUAGGUUCGGAAUAACUCCCCGAAAGGGGUGCUAAUACCGGAUAAUGUCUUCGGACCAAAGAUUUAUCGCCUUUGGAUGGGCCCGCGUUGGAUUAGCUAGUUGGUAGGGUAAAAGCCUACCAAGGCGACGAUCCAUAGCUGGUCUGAGAGGAUGAUCAGCCACACUGGGACUGAGACACGGCCCAGACUCCUACGGGAGGCAGCAGUGGGGAAUAUUGGACAAUGGGCGAAAGCCUGAUCCAGCAAUGCCGCGUGAGUGAUGAAGGCCUUAGGGUUGUAAAGCUCUUUUACCCGGGAUGAUAAUGACAGGACCGGGAGAAUAAGCUCCGGCUAACUCCGU
Molecule: ribosomal RNA, 431 nt
Filed under: uncultured bacterium
Lineage: Bacteria
Description: partial 16S ribosomal RNA
Rfam family: Bacterial small subunit ribosomal RNA
Source: RNAcentral